GCCUCCCUCCGCCGCCACUCAGACUCCGUACGGGAGGCGAGCAGUUGGGAAUCGUUAGGACAAGUACGGGGGAAACCCGUGGACUCCAGCCAUGCCGCGUGAGUGAUGAAGGCCUUCGGGUUGUAAACUCUUACGACGGGACGAGUAAUGACGGUACCGUAGAAGAAGCUCCGGCUAACUUCGUGCCAGCAGCCGCGUAAUUC
Molecule: ribosomal RNA, 203 nt
Filed under: uncultured bacterium
Lineage: Bacteria
Description: partial 16S ribosomal RNA
Rfam family: Bacterial small subunit ribosomal RNA
Source: RNAcentral